GUAGGUGGCAAGCGUUGUCCGGAAUUAUUGGGCGUAAAGCGCGCGCAGGUGGGUUCUUUAAGUCUGAUGUGAAAGCCCCCGGGCUCAACCGGGGAGGGUCAUUGGAAACUGGGGAACUUGAGUGCAGGAGAGGAAAGUGGAAUUCCACGUGUAGCGGUGAAAUGCGUAGAUAUGUGGAGGAACACCAGUGGCGAAGGCGACUUUCUGGCCUGUAACUGACACUGAGGCGCGAAAGCGUGGGGAGCAAACAGGAUUAGAUACCCUGGUAGUCCACGCCGUAAACGAUGAGUGCUAAGUGUUGGGGGGUUUCCGCCCCUCAGUGCUGCAGCUAACGCGUUAAGCACUCCGCCUGGGGAGUACGGUCGCAAAGACUG
This 374-nucleotide ribosomal RNA is filed under the name uncultured organism. RNAcentral describes it as "partial 16S ribosomal RNA". It matches the Rfam family "Bacterial small subunit ribosomal RNA", at positions 527 to 896 of the family's 1533-position model. The record is from RNAcentral.